RNAcentral lists this unclassified non-coding RNA (234 nucleotides) under plant metagenome. Its description in RNAcentral is "partial contains small subunit ribosomal RNA, internal transcribed spacer 1, and 5.8S ribosomal RNA". The record is from RNAcentral.
UUUCCGUAGGUGAACCUGCGGAAGGAUCAUUAAUGUGUUUGGGCCUCACGGCUCUUCAUUCCGACGCUGUGCGCCUUCGGGCUGCACGCUGAGGGAGCAUAUAUCCACCCCUGUGCACACACACGGUGGCGAGCUGGGUAACGGCUCGCCGCUGAUCUUUACACACGUCUAAAAGUCAUUGUAUGUUUAUUUGAGAUAAAAACAAAACUUUCAACAACGGAUCUCUUGGUUCUG